RNA transcript from Chenopodium quinoa (quinoa), 3158 nucleotides. It is a transcript of the gene named chitinase domain-containing protein 1-like, with no coding region annotated. The record is from RefSeq and is a predicted model, not a curated record. The transcript is spliced from 6 exons. Lineage: Eukaryota; Viridiplantae; Streptophyta; Magnoliopsida; Caryophyllales; Amaranthaceae.
UACUUUUUACUCAAACUCUUAAAAAUCGCUAUUUGUUUUGGAAUUGGUUUUUAAUUUGUGCGUGUUUUGAUUUCUGAAUUUCGAUGUUUUUAAUGUUGGUUCUUACUGAUUUCGAUUGUGUUAGGGUCUCUAUUUGAGCUUAAUAAUUUGAUUUUUGAAUUUUUAUGUUCUUGAUUGUUGGUUCUUACUGAUUUCGAUUAUGUUAGGAUCUCUGUUCAUUUUUCAUUUAAAGGAUUAUUUGUCUUACUUUUGGCUGAGCGAUUUCAAAUUUGACGGGGUCUUCGUCGAUUAUUUUUUAUUUUUUAUUGAAAAUUUCAAGGAUUUAAGUGAAGUUUUUUUUAGAUGUAAACUUCAAAAUUGCGUUGGUUGUUUUGUAAGCUUGCGGAUUUAUGUUACUAUUUACAUACAAUUUUUUUAUUUGCUUGUGGUAAUUAUGCUCUUUGUUGCAUACAGUUGAAAGCGCUAUCUUUGGUGAAUUUACUUUUGGGGUUUUCUGCAGUUUUACGAUUGAUGUAUUUCUAAUGGCUCUUAUUUAGCAACUUGCUAAUAAGUUAUCUCUUCAUUCCCAUGGUUUUUUUGUUCAGUUCAUCUUUAAAUUGAGAAUUUUUCAUUGUUCUCUUGGUUGUGAGGAUAGAUAUUGUGAAUUUAGGGUUUGUUCUUGGGAAUUUGGGUGAAUUUUUGAGAGAAUUUUGUUGAGUGAAGAAGGAUGGGGAGUAUAGAAGGAUUGGUGAAGCAACUUGGAGUGAGAAAGCCGAUUUCUGUGGCAGGACCUUCUGCUGUUGAUUUUCAGAAGACUCGGGAAUUUGAGAAGGAACUCGACUGGUUAUGAUCUAGCUAAAAGGUUCUGCCCCAAGUUUACACAUCUAUCUCUUGUAUGGUACGAUCUUAAGAGGAACUCGGCUGGUUAUGAUCUAGCUAAAAGGUUCUGCCCCAAGUUUACACAUCUAUCUCUUGUAUGGUACGAUCUUAAGAGUCAAGGGGCAAAGUUAGUUCUCGAGGGAAGACACAAUGCUGAUAUAGGAUGGAUGUCUGAGAUGAGAUUGAAAGGAAAUGCUCAGUCCUUGAAGCAGUGCCAAAGGACCUGCUCAGAAACAAGAAACAAAGGGAUAAAGCUAUUGACCUGCUUAUAACAGAGUGCAAGUAAGCAUAUUAUUUUGAAUUUUGUUCUUUCUAAGAUAUAAUUUUCAGCUUAGAAUUUUGGUUUGGAAGAAAGUCAAAAUAAGCGCAGAAAUUUGGAUGCUGAUGGUAGUGUUAAUGUUGUCCACUAUAACAGUUUUUUGGUGCAUCGUCAUGUCUCAUUAUCCUUUUAAUUCCAGCUUGCUUUCUCCCAAUUUUUUAGCUGCUUUGCAUUUAACCAGUGCGCAGGUCAGAAAACCCAAUUUUGCAUCUUAACUCAAAGGUUUUAAAAGGUAUUGGGUGCUACAUGAUAUUUUAAGACAGCAAUAAGAUAAGACUUUAGACCCUGAACAAAGAAAAUAUCCCUUAGCUCAUAAAUCACAGAUGUUUUCAUUGUCCAGUUGGUACUUCUUUAUCUUCCAUUAUGUCUAAAAAAGCUGAUCAGGUGUGAAUAGAGGUCAGUAAUCCGUAUAUAGCUUUAUCAUGUUAGUAUUGACUCAUUAUCACAGCAAUUAGGAUUUGAAUACUUGGGAAUCCUUUAUUUAAUUCGUAGGAGAGAGAGAUAGAGGUUUAAAAAAGAGGGAAAACUAAUUAAGCUACUAAUUGUGAGAAGAAAAUAGAAAUUAGUUUAAUUGUUGGAUUUUGGAUUAGCAGAAUUUUGUUUUGAAAAUAGGAAGUGCGGCAGAAUGUAUUAUAUUUGAUUCUAUGCUUUGGUCAUUGUUAUUAUCGGUAAAACAAUUAUUUGGGUGCUCAAAUAAUUUAGUUAAUUAUGGUAUAUCAGAUAUGGAGAUGAAUGAAUCUUUUAAAGGUAGAUUUCUUAUCAUUCUAAUUUAGAUGAUUUUUCAUAUCUGCUGCAUUAAAUUUCUGUGUAUUGUCAUGGUUCUUAUAUUCAUCAUAGUCAGUGAGAAAGAUCCAUUCUUAUUCGGUAAAGUGCUGCAUCAAGAUUUAAACUUCUCUUAUGUAUUUGCUUUGUGUGAAUAGAGGUCAGUAAUCCAUAUAUAGCUUUAGCAUGUUAGUAUUGACUCAUUAUCACAGCAAUUAGGAUUUGAAUAGUUGGGAAUCCUUACUUAAUUCGUAGGAGAAGAGAGAGAGAGAGAGAGAGAGAGAGAGAGAGAGAGAGAGAGAGAGAGAGAGAAAGAGAGAGAGGGAGAGGGAGGGGGGCUGGGUGAAAAUGGGCUUGGGGGAAAGAGAUGUAUAUAAAUAAGAGUCGGAAGAGAAAAUAUAUAGAGCAACAAAGAAAAAGUGUGACCAAUAUAGAGAAAAAAAAGAGAUACAGUGAUAAAGAGAAAGAUAGGUCGGAGGAAAAAGAAAUAAAGGGAGGUUUGAAAAAGAGGGAAAUAGAGAAAAACCAAGAAAUAUAAAGGGGCAAGGGGGAGAGAGGUAAAGAGAUAGGGAGGGGAGGGGAUGGAGAGAAGGAGAGGGUCAUAAUUAAUCUAAGGGAGAGGGAGAGGGAGGGGGAUGAUAAUUCUAAGGUUGUAUGGGUCAUACUUAGUCUGAGAGAUUUCGACGACAACAAAAGAUUAGCAGCAGUUCUAAAUUCUAAAGAAAGGAAGGAUGUGCAUUUUGCAAAGAAUUCGAGUGAACAGAAGAAGUCCUUAGAAGGAAUUAAGAUCCUCCUUGCAGAAGAUAGUUCUGGGAAAAGUAGAAGCUUGGUUGAUGGGUGUCGGAGAUGGAUCACAGGCAGUAAACACUCUCAAAUCCUCUUUAAAUGACGAAGGAUGUUGCACAACAUCUCCCUAGGUUACCAAAAAGAGCAGCAAGUAUAAUUUCAACUCUAAGCCGGGACUUCCUUCCAUUUGAAUUAAAUCGAAUGGUCUGUAAGGUUUUUCUACACAGCUGCAUUCUUCUACCGACUUAAUUGAGCAACUACGAGGUUUCAAUGGCAGAAGGUUGGUUAUUUAUUUGGAGACUGAUGGGCCCGGUCAGAUUGUAUUGAGUAGAAAAAAUUUUGUAGAUUACAAUUUGAAAAUUGAGGAAAUUUUGUAAAUAACAUGUGCCAUUAGUAAUGUAAAAAACUUACAUAAAUUUUCAAUUUUUCUUUA